This 187-nucleotide antisense RNA is filed under the name Guillardia theta. Its description in RNAcentral is "Antisense RNA which regulates isiA expression". It matches the Rfam family "Antisense RNA which regulates isiA expression". The record is from Rfam by way of RNAcentral. Lineage: Eukaryota; Cryptophyceae; Pyrenomonadales; Geminigeraceae. RNAcentral also lists the same sequence under 1 other name.
CAUAACCAAAUAUAACAGCUGGAUUUAAAGUUGGAUUAUCAAUUAUUCUAACAUCUCCUCCACCUGGAGCCCAUGUAUCGUAUAAACCACCAACAUAAAUAGCUUUUAUAACUAAUAAUAAUGCACCAAACCCAAGUAUUACUAAAUGAAUACCUAGAAUCGUAGUAAUCUUAUUUUUAUCACGCCA